Molecule: antisense RNA, 75 nt
Filed under: Saccharopolyspora spinosa
Lineage: Bacteria; Bacillati; Actinomycetota; Actinomycetes; Pseudonocardiales; Pseudonocardiaceae
Description: ASpks TB sRNA
Rfam family: ASpks TB sRNA
Source: RNAcentral
CUUGACCGACCCCAACCACAACGGCCGGCCAGGAUCACGAUCACGGCCGUAGGUGGCGAUCAGCGCCUGCGCCUC